CAGUAGCCACGGUAAUACGAAGGGGGCUAGCGUUGCUCGGAAUUACUGGGCGUAAAGGGAGCGUAGGCGGAUCGUUAAGUUGGGGGUGAAAGCCCGGGGCUCAACCUCGGAACUGCCUUCAAUACUGGCGAUCUUGAGUAUGAGAGAGGUGUGUGGAACUCCGAGUGUAGAGGUGAAAUUCGUAGAUAUUCGGAAGAACACCAGUGGCGAAGGCGACACACUGGCUCAUUACUGACGCUGAGGCUCGAAAGCGUGGGGAGCAAACAGGAUUAGAUACCCCAGUAGUCCCUGUCUCUUAUAC
Molecule: ribosomal RNA, 301 nt
Filed under: uncultured bacterium
Lineage: Bacteria
Description: partial 16S ribosomal RNA
Rfam family: Bacterial small subunit ribosomal RNA
Source: RNAcentral